Acanthosepion pharaonis is the source of this 89-nucleotide non-coding RNA. Lineage: Eukaryota; Metazoa; Mollusca; Cephalopoda; Sepiida; Sepiidae. The record is from the annotation of a GenBank genome assembly.
GCACGGAAACGCCGGUUCUCCUUUGAUCACCGAAGUUAAGCAGUGUUGAACCCAGUUAGUACUUAGGAGACCACUAGGGAGCACCGGAU